Non-coding RNA from Trichomalopsis sarcophagae, 45 nucleotides. Lineage: Eukaryota; Metazoa; Arthropoda; Insecta; Hymenoptera; Pteromalidae. The record is from Rfam.
UAAUCGGCCCUUUUCAGGGCCACCAACAAAACGGCCAGCGCUCGU